This 1439-nucleotide long non-coding RNA is filed under the name Equus caballus (horse). RNAcentral's name for it is "lncRNA (ENSECAG00000059982.1)". The record is from RNAcentral. Lineage: Eukaryota; Metazoa; Chordata; Mammalia; Perissodactyla; Equidae.
UGUUUUUGGUGAUGUCUCGAGUAGGGGAAGAAGAGGCCAAGAGCCUAGCCUAGGUGUUGCCAAUUAAAGAUGCUUUCUUAAGUAAGCAAAUCUUGGCAGGGUGCCUAGACACAGCCCGUGAAGGCCCUCUGGCCUUUUGCAAAUACCCUGUGAAGAGAUAUUGCUCCGGCUAUAGAAGCUGAAGCCCAGAAAAAAAUGUCCGCUGUGGGCUGCUAUGGACUCCUCAUCAUUCAGAGAAAGGCAACUGGCCAGCGAGGAGUGGUUGUUAACAGCGGCUAAGUGUGGAAGGACAGUGACAGAAAUCUGUAAAAAGAACAAGACAGGAGGGGUCAGCCAGGAGAGACAUGCCCUUAAAGAAGAAUUAACAAUGUAUGAUGGAGAUUAUGAUAGGAGAAUUAUAGAUACUUAUACAAACGUAACAAGGACUCUAAGCUAAAUCUGCGAAUUGUACAAGACUGACUGAGGAGACACGGUACAGACCAAGAACAAGCGAAGGAAUAGGAGAUAACCAGAAGAAGAGAGAAUACCACAUUCCAGGCUAUUCCAAGGGAUAGCUUUUAUUAGCCAUGAGCUAACAUCUGCUGCUAAUCCUCCUCCUUUUGCUGAUGAAGACUGGCCCUGAGCUAACAUCCGUACCCAUCUUCCUCUACUUUAUACAUGGGACGCCUGCCACAGCAUGGCUUGACUAGCGGCGCCGUGUCCGCACCUGGGAUCCGAACUGGCAAACCCUGGGCUGCUGAGAAGCAGAACGUGCGAACUUAACCGCUGCGCCACCAGGCUGGCCUCUCUUAGCAACUUUGAAGUAUAUAACAUGGUAUGGUUGAGCAUAAUCACUAUGCUGGGCAUUAGAUCCCCAGAACUUCUCCACCUUUUAAGUGGAAGUUUGUACCCUUUGACCAACAUCUCCCCAAUUCCUCCAUCCUAAGCCCCUGGUAACCACCAUUCUACUCUCUGUUUCUAUGAGUUCAUCUUUUUUGUUUUUAUUUAUUUAUUUAUUUUAAAGAUUGGCACCUGAGCUAACAACUGUUGCCAAUCUUCUUUUUCUUUUUUCCUGCUUUUCCUCCCCAAAGCCCCCCAGUACAUAGUUGUAUAUUUUAGUUGUGGGUCCUUCUAGUUGUGGCGUGUGGGAUGCCGCCUCAGCAUGGCCUGGUGAGCGGUGCCAUGUCCUCACCCAGGAUCCCAACCGGAGAAACCCCGGGCUGCCAAAGCAGAGCGCACGAACUUAACCACUCGGCCACGGGGCAGCCCCUAGUUCAUCUUUUUUAGAUUUCAUAUAUAAUUGAGAUCAUACAGUAUUUGUCUUUCCUGUUUGAUUUCUCUCACUUAGCAUAUGCCCUCAAGGUCUGCCCAUGCUGUUGAAGAAGGCAGGAUUUCCUUCUUUCUCAUGACUGAAUAAUAUUCCAUUUUAUUUAUCCGUUCAUCUGUUGAUGGACAUUUAG